Molecule: ribosomal RNA, 164 nt
Filed under: Brickellia hintoniorum
Lineage: Eukaryota; Viridiplantae; Streptophyta; Magnoliopsida; Asterales; Asteraceae
Description: 5.8S ribosomal RNA
Rfam family: 5.8S ribosomal RNA
About the family: 5.8S ribosomal RNA (5.8S rRNA) is a component of the large subunit of the eukaryotic ribosome.
Source: RNAcentral
UAAACGACUCUCGGCAACGGAUAUCUCGGCUCAUGCAUCGAUGAAGAACGUAGCAAAAUGCGAUACUUGGUGUGAAUUGCAGAAUCCCGUGAACCAUCGAGUUUUUGAACGCAAGUUGCGCCCAAAGCCAUUUGGCUAAGGGCACGUCUGCCUGGGCGUCACAC